Molecule: ribosomal RNA, 465 nt
Filed under: uncultured bacterium
Lineage: Bacteria
Description: partial 16S ribosomal RNA
Rfam family: Bacterial small subunit ribosomal RNA
Source: RNAcentral
GACGAACGCUGGCGGCGUGCUUAACACAUGCAAGUCGAACGGAAAGGCCCCUUUGGGGGUACUCGAGUGGCGAACGGGUGAGUAACACGUGAGUAACCUGCCCUUGACUUCGGGAUAACUUCAGGAAACUGGGGCUAAUACCGGAUAGGAAUCCUUGCUGCAUGGUGGGGGUUGGAAAGCUUCGGCGGUUUUGGAUGGACUCGCGGGUUAUCAGCUUGUUGGUGGGGUAGUGGCUUACCAAGGCUUUGACGGGUAGCCGGCCUGAGAGGGCGACCGGCCACCUUGGGACUGAGAUACGGCCCAGACUCCUACGGGAGGCAGGAGUGGGGAAUAUUGCCCCAUGGGCGGAAGCCUGAUGCAGCAACGCCGCGUGCGGGAUGACGGCCUUCGGGUUGUAAACCGCUUUCAGCAGGGGCGAAGCUUGUGGUGACGGUACCUGCAGAAGAAGCACCGGCUAACUACGUG